This 460-nucleotide ribosomal RNA is filed under the name uncultured bacterium. RNAcentral's name for it is "partial 16S ribosomal RNA". It matches the Rfam family "Bacterial small subunit ribosomal RNA", at positions 338 to 795 of the family's 1533-position model. The record is from RNAcentral.
CCUACGGGAGGCAGCAGUGAGGAAUAUUGGUCAAUGGACGCAAGUCUGAACCAGCCAUGCCGCGUGCAGGAAGACGGCUCUAUGAGUUGUAAACUGCUUUUGUACGAGGGUAAACGCAGAUACGCGUAUCUGUCUGUAUGUAUCCUACGAAUAAGGAUCGGCUAACUCCGUGCCAGCAGCCGCGGUAAUACGGAGGAUUCAAGCGUUAUCCGGAUUUAUUGGGUUUAAAGGGUGCGUAGGCGGUCGGAUAAGUUAGAGGUGAAAUCCCGAGGCUCAACUUCGGAAUUGCCUCUGAUACUGUUCGGCUAGAGAGUAGUUGCGGUAGGCGGAAUGUAUGGUGUAGCGGUGAAAUGCUUAGAGAUCAUACAGAACACCGAUUGCGAAGGCAGCUUACCAAGCUACUUCUGACGCUCAUGCACGAAAGUGUGGGUAUCGAACAGGAUUAGAUACCCGGGUAGUC